RNAcentral lists this ribosomal RNA (220 nucleotides) under uncultured Pseudomonas sp. RNAcentral's name for it is "partial 16S ribosomal RNA". It matches the Rfam family "Bacterial small subunit ribosomal RNA", at positions 1167 to 1382 of the family's 1533-position model. The record is from RNAcentral. Lineage: Bacteria; Pseudomonadati; Pseudomonadota; Gammaproteobacteria; Pseudomonadales; Pseudomonadaceae.
AGGAAGGCGGGGAUGACGUCAAAUCAGCACGGCCCUUACGUCCUGGGCUACACACGUGCUACAAUAGGGUCGGUACAAAAGGGUUGCCAAGCCGCGAGGUGGAGCUAAUCCCAAUAAAACCGAUCGUAGUCCGGAUCGCAGUCUGCAACUCGACUGCGUGAAGUCGGAAUCGCUAGUAAUCGUGAAUCAGAAUGUCACGGUGAAUACGUUCCCGGGCCUU